Molecule: ribosomal RNA, 253 nt
Filed under: uncultured bacterium
Lineage: Bacteria
Description: partial 16S ribosomal RNA
Rfam family: Bacterial small subunit ribosomal RNA
Source: RNAcentral
UACGUAGGGUGCAAGCGUUAAUCGGAAUUACUGGGCGUAAAGCGUGCGCAGGCGGUUUUGUAAGUCAGGGGUGAAAUCCCGAGGCUCAACCUCGGAACUGCCUUUGAUACUGGAGAUCUUGAGUCCGGAAGAGGUAAGUGGAACUGCGAGUGUAGAGGUGAAAUUCGUAGAUAUUCGCAAGAACACCAGUGGCGAAGGCGGCUUACUGGUCCGGAACUGACGCUGAGGUGCGAAAGCGUGGGGAGCAAACAGG